AGUCGAACGGCAGCACGGGAGCAAUCCUGGUGGCGAGUGGCGAACGGGUGAGUAAUACAUCGGAACGUGUCCUGUAGUGGGGGAUAGCCCGGCGAAAGCCGGAUUAAUACCGCAURCGAUCUGCGGAUGAAAGCGGGGGCUCCUUCGGGACCUCGCGCUGCAGGGGCGGCCGAUGGCAGAUUAGCUAGUUGGUGGGGUAAAGGCCUACCAAGGCGACGAUCUGUAGCUGGUCUGAGAGGACGACCAGCCACACUGGGACUGAGACACGGCCCACACUCCUACGGGAGGCAGCAGUGGGGAAUUUUGGACAAUGGGCGCAAGCCUGAUCCAGCAAUGCCGCGUGUGUGAAGAAGGCCUUCGGGUUGUAAAGCACUUUUGUCCGGAAAGAAAACGUCGUGGUUAAUACCCGGGGCGGAUGACGGUACCGGAAGAAUAAGCACCGGCUAACUACGUGCCAGCAGCCGCGGUAAUACGUAGGGUGCAAGCGUUAAUCGGAAUUACUGGGCGUAAAGCGUGCGCAGGCGGUUCGCUAAGACAGAUGUGAAAUCCCCGGGCUUAACCUGGGAACUGCAUUUGUGACUGGCGGGCUAGAGUAUGGCAGAGGGGGGUAGAAUUCCACGUGUAGCAGUGAAAUGCGUAGAGAUGUGGAGGAAUACCGAUGGCGAAGGCAGCCCCCUGGGCCAAUACUGACGCUCAUGCACGAAAGCGUGGGGAGCAAACAGGAUUAGAUACCCUGGUAGUCCACGCCCUAAACGAUGUCAACUAGUUGUCGGGUCUUCAUUGACUUGGUAACGUAGCUCACGCGUGAAGUUGACCGCCUGGGGAGUACGGUCGCAAGAUUAAAACUCAAAGGAAUUGACGGGGACCCGCACAAGCGGUGGAUGAUGUGGAUUAAUUCGAUGCAACGCGAAAAACCUUACCUACCCUUGACAUGUAUGGAAUCCUGCUGAGAGGUGGAUGUGCCCGAAAGGGAGCCAUAACACAGGUGCUGCAUGGCUGUCGUCAGCUC
RNAcentral lists this ribosomal RNA (1009 nucleotides) under Paraburkholderia sp. Its description in RNAcentral is "bacterial SSU rRNA". It matches the Rfam family "Bacterial small subunit ribosomal RNA", at positions 60 to 1061 of the family's 1533-position model. Lineage: Bacteria; Pseudomonadati; Pseudomonadota; Betaproteobacteria; Burkholderiales; Burkholderiaceae. The record is from RNAcentral.